UGUGUGUGUGUGUGCGCGUGUGUGUGUGAGGAAAGGGAGUGGAUAUAUUGUUUUGUGUGUUUGCAGACUGUACGUGUGUCUCAACUUCUUGCAACCCAGCAAGAUGAUGCAGUGUUGAGUUUGUUAGGAUUUCAAUUUUCAUUCCCUGCAUGCUUCAGUGUCUGGACAGGGAAUUCAUUGUGUGCAUAUCCGAUUGAAGUCAAUAUGGAGCACAUAUUGGAAAGUCUGCGUUCAACUUAACAUAUUGUCAUUGGUGUGUGUCCAAGUGAUCAAAGAGUCGCUGCACUGAGCUGCCCACAUUUAUACAAAAGGUAUGUGCGCAAAAAAACCAGACACAAGCACAGGAGUAAUUAGAGCGACAGACCAGUGCAAGAAAACACAGCUCGGACUGAACAGAACAUAGUCACACACGUCAUCUGCAAUUUUGCUUAACAUGACCCAGAAAAAGACUUAAUGUAUUCUACCAUUAACAUAUUAACACCAAUGAAUUGCACUGAGAAAUGUCUAGAAACUUUUUGUAGUGCAUUUUGCAUGUAUGAAUAAGUAAUGUUGGAACCAGGGGUAAUAAUGCAUGUCAUUUCUUCAUUUUCACACCAUACAGCCAAAUGGUGAGAGUGUGAGGAUGACUACAGAGCCUGAAGGUCUGGUUCUCACUCCACUGAUGGACGCUACAGACGUCUGGAAGGCUGUUGGCCAGUGUGACAUCAGCACACGGCACUCAGCGGAGCAGGAGAAGCCCUUAAACAAGGCAUUAUAUUUCUGGCUGGCUUCUGCUCAUAUUCACAUUGAACAGCAGAACAAACAAUGACAGGGCGGGGAGGAAUUGCAGACACCUCACCCAGCAUGUGUGAAAAUAAAUCUGCUCAAGGGCGGAGACCUGUGUGUCUUCAACAAUCAUGGAAAUUUCAAUGGCCACGCCACGAAGGCGGCCUUUUUUUUUUACUUGGCCUUUUAAUAAAGGCAUUUCAUUACGCCGUGUGCGAGUCAUGCACUCAUGGGCGAUUUCUGUAUCACAAUGAGAACCUGCGGGGAGCUCUUUUCAUUGCCUUGAUUCCAACAGGAUCAAAACUGAAAAUGUGUUUCAUCGGUGUCCUUGUUUCCGAUCUCCGUGCUUGUCAUCAAACAGACUAAUUGCAUUUUGCUAAGUGAUAAAGUACUACAUUGUGUCUAACCACAUGAUAAUAUUUGACGCAGAACAUCAAAGGGCAAUUGUAGCAGCUUUGUUGCUUUCAAGAGCCCCUUUGAAAGCCGAAAACACGGCGCUCUGUCUAAACUAAACCACCUGAAAAAUACCUUAUGGAAAAUUUAAUCUGGAGUUUACCCUCCUCUAAUCAGAGAGAGCGAGAAGAAAAGCGGUCCUCUCUCUUAAACUCAUUUUCAUCACCCAACGUAUCAAUACGUGUUAUCCGACUGAGUGAAAAGGUAGUGGUUGUUAAGUGAUACAAACAGACUGGGGAGAAGAGAGUGCAGCACUGGACACAGAUGGCAGCUGGAAAGUCUAUCAUUUCACAGGAUUAGAUGCUGUUUGCCUUGUAUUGUGCUCCAGCCUCCAGUGUCCCCGAAGGACGCUUAUCUGCGCACUCUUUCCAUGCAACGCAGACGCAGUCACAACAUACAUACAACAACACACACACAAGGAAAUCAGGGCAAUGAAUGACGCCCUCCCCUUUAGGAUUAAAGAAAACAGAUUACUCAACGAUGGCGCAGCAGGGAACGGACCGAGGUAGACAGUGGAAGGCCUCAUUGGGUUCUGAUGAUCCAGUCCUACAGAUGCAACCACGUCAGCUUCACAUGGGACAAAAUCAGUCUUCUUCCUGCCUUGGAUUCACCUAAGGACAUGGCCCUGGUUGGUGAGAGGAAAAAAGGUUAACUCAAGCUGCAGCACCAGAAACUCUGUGACCAGAUGUGUGCAACUCUAUCAAAGCCAGAUCACGCAAAGAACUGAGCUCUGACCGAGCAGUAAUGUGGCAUAAAGCAAAUCUGGGUGACAACAGCUCAUCUGUCUGCGGCUACGGCAGCUUACAGUAAUUUAUGAGCACCCCAUUUGAACCAUACACAAAUGAAUGCUUUCCAAGAUUACAUGCUCAUAAAUAUUCUGACGAAUGCCCUGAGUGAAGAGGUGACCCCAUCAAUGACAGUAAUUUACAUUUCAAAAGGUUGC
Molecule: long non-coding RNA, 2161 nt
Organism: Scophthalmus maximus (turbot)
Lineage: Eukaryota; Metazoa; Chordata; Actinopteri; Pleuronectiformes; Scophthalmidae
Exons: 3
Source: RefSeq, a predicted model, not a curated record